Molecule: ribosomal RNA, 725 nt
Filed under: uncultured bacterium
Lineage: Bacteria
Description: bacterial SSU rRNA
Rfam family: Bacterial small subunit ribosomal RNA
Source: RNAcentral
AACAGGAUUAGAUACCCUGGUAGUCCACGCCCUAAACGAUGUCAACUGGUUGUUGGGAGGGUUUCUUCUCAGUAACGUAGCUAACGCGUGAAGUUGACCGCCUGGGGAGUACGGCCGCAAGGUUGAAACUCAAAGGAAUUGACGGGGACCCGCACAAGCGGUGGAUGAUGUGGUUUAAUUCGAUGCAACGCGAAAAACCUUACCUACCCUUGACAUGCCAGGAAUCUUGCAGAGAUGUGAGAGUGCUCGAAAGAGAACCUGGACACAGGUGCUGCAUGGCCGUCGUCAGCUCGUGUCGUGAGAUGUUGGGUUAAGUCCCGCAACGAGCGCAACCCUUGUCAUUAGUUGCUACGAAAGGGCACUCUGAUGAGACUGCCGGUGACAAACCGGAGGAAGGUGGGGAUGACGUCAGGUCAUCAUGGCCCUUAUGGGUAGGGCUACACACGUCAUACAAUGGCCGGGACAGAGGGCUGCCAACCCGCGAGGGGGAGCUAAUCCCAGAAACCCGGUCGUAGUCCGGAUCGCAGUCUGCAACUCGACUGCGUGAAGUCGGAAUCGCUAGUAAUCGCGGAUCAGCUUGCCGCGGUGAAUACGUUCCCGGGUCUUGUACACACCGCCCGUCACACCAUGGGAGCGGGUUCUGCCAGAAGUAGUUAGCCUAACCGCAAGGAGGGCGAUUACCACGGCAGGGUUCGUGACUGGGGUGAAGUCGUAACAAGGUAACC